Molecule: long non-coding RNA, 4613 nt
Organism: Anastrepha obliqua
Lineage: Eukaryota; Metazoa; Arthropoda; Insecta; Diptera; Tephritidae
Exons: 2
Source: RefSeq, a predicted model, not a curated record
CUUCAGCGGUGUUGACAAACUGUUCUACUGUUAACACAUAAUCUUUGAGAUGCUUCGGUUUCGAAAUCGUUGACCUAUCUCUCAAUCUUCUUUCUGUUGGUAAUUUUGAGUUUUCUUCUUUUUCUGAAUCGGACUCAUUUCCAGUUUCAUACUCUUCUUCGCUGCUCAGAGUUUCUUCAGAGCCAAAUGUCUUCUUAGUCUUCAAUAAUGAAAAUCUUCUUUCUUCAAUGUAGUCCUCACCAUCGUUCUCGACAUCUCUCAUUGGUAGUUUGACUUCUUCUUCACAUUCUUUUGGCUUCUCUUGAAAUUGGACGUCUCUUGACAAAAUUACCUUGUGUUCUUCCUGAACGUAAUAUAGAUUCUGUAUCGCUCGUCCUGAUCGUAUCCUACAAGGAAUCCUUUCACUGCUUUAGCCAAAAAACGACGAUAAUAAUUGAGGAGUGCCAAGAAUCGGCGCAACUCAUGAGCUACUGUCGGCUUUUUGAACUGACAAAUGGCCUCGGUUUUGGCCUUAGGAGGCGCGACGCCAUCUGCCGUAAUCGUGUGACCGAGAAAAAUUAUUUUGGGCUGGCCGGGGGUGCAUUUGGCGAGAUUAAUCUUCAAAUUGUAAGCGCUUAAUCUCUCGAAAACUAUGCGAAGAUGCUUCCGGUGUUCGGUUUCGUUAACCGAAGCCACGCAAAUAUCGUCUAUGUAGACGAAAACGAAAUCCAAAUUCAUGAACAGCUUGUUUAUGAACCUUUGGAAUGUUUGAGAAGCAUUUCUGAGACCGAAUGUCAUGACGUUAAAUUCAUUUAGGCCAAAUGGGGUGAUUAUGGCCGUUUUUUCCUUGUCAGACCUAUCAAUUGGAAUUUGGUUGUAAGCACUAACCAAAUCGAUGAUCGAGAAAAUUUUGCAUCCAGCAAACUUUUGUGUAAAGUCAUGGAUAUGAGGCAAGGGAUAGCGAUCUGGUACUGUAAUGGCAUUGAGACGCCGAUAGUCACCGCAGAAUCGCCAGCGCCCAUCUUUUUUGGGAACCAUGUGUAAUGGACUUGCCCAUGCACUUUUGCUUGGACUGCAGAUGCCAGCAUUGAGCAUGGCUUCGAAUUCUGUUUUGGCCAUUUUAAGUCGCUUCGGGUUGAGACGACGUGCUGCCGAAAAUAUGGGCUGACCCGUGGUAAUGAUUUGAUGAGUAAUGUCAUGAGAUGGACUGAAUCCAUAUUGCUAAAAGUCGGUGGAAGCGUCAGAGCCUUGAAUUCGCUAAUGAGAUCAGCCAUAUUGUUAUUCCCGACAUUGAUGGUAGAUAAACGUUCAUAUGGAGUCAUAAUGGAAUUGCAUUUAACCACCAGUUGGGUUUCCGAUGAUUGCCUUAUCUACAUCGGCAAUUAUGAAUGGCCACGUGAAAUUGCGCCUGAGGCCAAUGUUCAGGCUAAGCUGAUGUUGGCCGAAAGUCUUAAUGGGAGUGCCGUUUGCGGCAAAUAAACGAUUUGAGGACGGACCGGCCGAUUUGUUACCGAAAAUACGCGGUAGAUUUGAGAUAUCGGAGCCGGUGUCAAUGAGAAAAUUCCUGCAGGUAAUGAACAAUCGAUGACAGGUCAUGACUUCCGCUUCGUCCUUCGUCCCUAAGGAAGCGGCUUUUAGUUUUCCCGUCUUUUAUCAUUAAAUUUGCACGGGGGAACACAUUUGAGUGCUGCGCCACCGAACUUGUAGUGGUAUCGACAAAACGGUUUGGCAUUACCGUUGUCGCCGGAGCUUGAACGUGCAUUUUGGUUGUUGCCACUUCGUGAUCGUGACCGUGAAUGAUCACCGGGGGUGGUCAACUGGGUUGCCAAAUUAGCAACUGCCUGUGUCAAAGCUUUAAUAUUGUUGAGGAUUUCCUCAAAUUGUUCAUUUUUAUGUGGUGCACCAGCUUUCACUGCCAUGACUUGUGAGGAUGUGGAUCCAACAAAGUCCAUGAUCGUAUCGGCGCGUUUGGCGUAUAUGUCUAAAUCUUCAUCACCAAUUAUCAAGCAAGCUCGAAGUGUAACAGGCAAUGUUUCAAUCCACCAGCUUUUUAAAAUUGUUUCCGAAACUGAGCUUCCGGCCAGGUCACGCAUGUGGCGCAAAAGCUGAGAUGGUUUACGGUCACCAAGCUCAACGUCAUUAAGUAAUUUCCGAAUUUUUUUCGAUUCGGAGUCCGCGAACUCCGCGAUAAUUCUAUUUUUGAGACACUCGUAUUUGUCCGUUUCGGGAGGAUUGCGAAGAAAAUCAGUUCAAGAAUUUGCGCGUCCAAUGCGCCGACCACGUGGUCGUAUUUUGUAUCAUCGCGAGAAAUGUUAGCACGUCGAAAAGACGUCUCUAUUUGAAUGAAAAAUAUAUGAGGGUUACUUUUCAAGAAAACGGGUGGUUUAACCGCAAUAUGACUACUUUGUAGAGGCUGAUCGAAGAAGGUACUCACAUUUUCGCGAAAUUCUUGUUGUAGUUGCCGUUGAGAAGCUCCUGAUGAGGUUCCAGGUGUGCAGUCUCCUUGGAUCAUUCUGGUAAAUAUUGAUUGUAGGUUCCGUUGAAUGGCUUCCAAAUCCUCGAUUGGUAUUUGCUCUCUUGGUCGUAGAUAAGGCUUCUCGUUGUUUGAUGAUAUUCUCAUUUGAAAAAGUACUGCAUCCAGAAUGUUGUAUUUGCACUUUGAAUUACGUUUAAAGUUGCAUUAAUAGUACACUUGUUUGUAUGGUUGCAUAGAAUUGUGAGUUAAAUGCGGAAGGUAAUUCCUACGACCCGCGUUGCAUCAAUAAAAACCCCUUUCAAAUGUUUGUGUUAAAUUUCGCCGUUAAGUUCCGAACUUUGGUGUAGUACCACAAGCCUUGGUUACACGUGGUGGAAUGUGCGGUUAUGUUAGUACGCAGGUGCAGGUGAAAUUUAAGUUAUGGUCGAUGCACGCUCGCCGUAUUAGAAAUGUCCACAAUUUUCUCGGAAAACACUUUUGUAUGAAAAUGUUCUUUGUUCGGGGUCACCGAUUUGGGUUUUUCUAAUUUAUACGGCGCUUCCAGAUUCUAAUUGCUGCCGUUUGUAAUCGCUCCUACACCGACUCUACGUUCUUGCACUUUUCUAACCCUUCAACUCCAACUCGAAGCAAUUUAAACAGCCAUUCAUAUAUUGCGACCAAUCUAUGCGGCGCAGAACUUUUAUUUUAGUUUCAAUUGUUUUCCUCUUAUUUUUAGUUAUCAGUUAUUAAAAACAUUCGUUGCGAAAAAAGAAGCUCUUAUCAAGACCCAAACCGAAAAAGUAAUAAUUCAAAACAAAAAUACUCAAGCAACGUAUACACGCUGCUUUUGUUGUAUCAACAAUCCUUACGCCCAGCACACACGCUGCGAUUGUUGUAUCAACGCUUUGUACAGUGCGUACAAGCAAUUGCAGGCAAUGUCCCACAUAUUAAAUUAUAUUAACAGCGAAAUUAUUAUUGUAAGGGAGAUAUUAUUGCAUAUUAGUAGAACUAUUAUUAUUAGCUGAAUUGGGGUAGGAAUUUAUAUUUCUCUAACUAUUAAAUUGCUGUCUUGGUGGAGAUAAAUUUUGUUUUGUUUGUUGUAGAAAAAUCUUUUUCUUAAUUUUGGUGUUUCACCGACGUACGUUCACUCUGUGAAUUCCGAAUGGUAGUCACGCACCAACCCAUUCGACUACGGCGGCUGCCGAUUGUACAUAUAUUACUAAUCUAUAAUAUAAAACUGAAUCGUAAAAUGUGUUGGUAAACUUAUAACUCAACAACGCAUGGACUAAUCUUAACAUUUUUUUUUUAAAUGUUCCUUGAAGUCCAAGGAUGGUUUGUACGGCGAGAAAAAUUCGAAUAAUUUCCGGGAAAACCCUAAAACAGCCCUUUUCUUUUUCCCAUACAAAUAUUGCGCGUUCGUGUGUGUGCGUGUUCGCGUUGGAGGAUCUAAUGCGUUGACACAAAAGUGAUAAUAUUCUUUCUUUUGUUUUAGUUUCAGAACGAUUUAAGGAACGAUUUCAUUCACAAACCUAUAAUAUAAAGAGGAAUUGCAAAAUGUGUUGGUUCCUUGAAGUCCCAGGAUGACUUUUACGGAAAAUAAUUUCCGGGAAACCCCUAAAACAGCCCUUUUCUUUUUCCUAUAUAAAUAUGGCGCGUUCGUGUGUGUGCGUGUUCGCGUUGGAGGAUCUAAUGCACAAAUCACACAAAAGUGAUAAUAUCGUCAACUCGACCAAAUUGAAAAGUCAAAAAAUGUAAGAGCUAUAGAUUUGAUUAGCCUCGCAAUAUUCUUUCUUUUGUUUUAGUUUCAGAACGAGUUAAGGAAUAAUUUCAUUCACAAAUAAUAAAUAGUUAAGUAAAUUCUAAGAAUAAUCAUGCAGUGCUGAACAAAUCCAAACAUAUUUUAAGAAUACCAAACGAUAAACAUACAUAUGUAUUUUAAGAAUAACAAAAGACAAACAUAUUUUAAGAAGAAGAAGAUAAACAUAUGUUAAGGAUAACAAAAGACAAACAUUAUUAAUUAAUCUAAAAAAACCUAUGUUUUUCACAUGGUCAAUUGUAUGUUGCCUGUUCCCGUGUUGGAAAACCAUCAGAUUUGUUUGUAUAUACACCAGGUAAUCAAACAAAAACAUUGUAUAUCAUAAAGCGCUACAAUAAAAAUAAAACAGAUUUUUGUUAAUAA